Molecule: ribosomal RNA, 760 nt
Filed under: uncultured bacterium
Lineage: Bacteria
Description: bacterial SSU rRNA
Rfam family: Bacterial small subunit ribosomal RNA
Source: RNAcentral
UUCGCCCUUAGAGUUUGAUCCUGGCUCAGAGCGAACGCUGGCGGCAGGCCUAACACAUGCAAGUCGAACGGACCCUUCGGGGUUAGUGGCGGACGGGUGAGUAACACGUGGGAACGUGCCUUUAGGUUCGGAAUAGCUCCUGGAAACGGGUGGUAAUGCCGAAUGUGCCCUUCGGGGGAAAGAUUUAUCGCCUUUAGAGCGGCCCGCGUCUGAUUAGCUAGUUGGUGAGGUAACGGCUCACCAAGGCGACGAUUAUUAUCUGGUCUGAGAGGAUGACCAGCCACACUGGGACUGAGACACGGUCCAGAUUCAUGCGGGAGGCGGCUGUGGGGAGUCUUGCGCAAUGAAGAAAAGCCUGAGGCAACCAUGCGGCGUGAAUGAUGAAGGUAGUAGGAUUGUAAAGUUCUUUCACCGGGGACGGUGAUACGGGUACCCGGAGAAGAAGCCCCGGCGAACUUCGUGCCAGCAGCCGCGGUAAUACGAAGGGGGCUGGCGUUGCUCGGAAUUACUGAGCGUAAAGGGCGCGUGGGCGGAUCGUUAAGUCAGAGGAGAAAUCCCAGGGCUCAACCCUGGAAGUGCCUUGGGUGCGGGCGAUCGUGAGUAUGAGAGAGGUAUGGGGAACUCCGGAGUAUAGAGGUGAAAUUCGUAGAUAUUGGGAAGAACACCAGUGGCGAAGGCGACAUACGGGCUCAUUACUGAACGCUGAGGCGCGAAAGCGUGGGGAGCAAACAGGAUUAGAUACCCUGGUAGUCCACGCCGU